AUGUUCAUUCAGGCCGUAGGAAAGCGUGGAUUCGACCCCCCUUGGGAGCAGCAAAAAUCCAAGUUGAUGGUGGAUUAUGAAGGAACAGCAAUAGGGGAGCAUCUGCAGCUGUGUGCAAGGAUCAUAUGUGAAAAAAAAUUAGGCUCGUCCGCCAUGGUUUUUCCUGGAAUUAUUGGCCCAGCAACACUAGAGGCUCUCACCUGUAGAGAGGCCUUGGCUCUGGCACUUGAUCUUUCUUUGCAAAAAAAUUGUUGUUUCAUGCGACCGCAAAUCGAUUGUCUCAGAGAUAAAAGAAGGCACUGGUGUCGGAUGUGGGGUUCUGGCAAACCCUUAAGGUUCGAACACUGGGGUGUGCGCGAGGUCUUUUCCUCACACCGAUCUAUGCUCUAG
RNAcentral lists this ribosomal RNA (390 nucleotides) under Triticum aestivum (bread wheat). RNAcentral describes it as "partial small subunit ribosomal RNA". Lineage: Eukaryota; Viridiplantae; Streptophyta; Magnoliopsida; Poales; Poaceae. The record is from RNAcentral.